UUUUUUUUCUCCGCCCCCCCGAAAAAAAAAUCUACAUAGCGGAGGAAAAGAAACCAACAGGGAUUGCCUUAGUAACGGCGAGUGAAGCGGCAAUAGCUCAAAUUUGAAAGCUGGCACCUUCGGUGUCCGCGUUGUAAUUUGUAGAGGAUGCUUCGGCGAGGACUCCUGCCUAAGUCCCCUGGAACGGGGCGUCACAGAGGGUGAGAAUCCCGUAUGUGGCGGGCGGUCCGAGCCAUGUGAAGCUCCUUCGACGAGUCGAGUUGUUUGGGAAUGCAGCUCUAAAUGGGAGGUAAAUUUCUUCUAAAGCUAAAUAUUGGCCAGAGACCGAUAGCGCACAAGUAGAGUGAUCGAAAGAUGAAAAGCACUUUGGAAAGAGAGUUAAAAAGUACGUGAAAUUGUUGAAAGGGAAGCGCUUGCAACCAGACUCGCUCGCAGUUGCUCAGCCGGCCUCUUGGCCGGUGUACUCUUCUGCGAUCGGGCCAGCAUCAGUUCGGGCGGCCGGAUAAAGGUGUCGGGAAUGUAGCACCCUUCGGGGUGUGUUAUAGCCCGGCGCGGAAUGCGGCCAGCCUGGACUGAGGAUCUCGCUUCGGCAAGGAUGCUGGCGUAAUGGUUGUAAGCGGCCCGUCUUGAAACACGGACCAAGGAGUCUAACAUCUAUGCGAGUGUUUGGGUGUCAAACCCAUGCGCGUAAUGAAAGUGAACGGAGGUGGGAACCCCUCACGGGGUGCACCAUCGACCGAUCCUGAUGUCUUCGGAUGGAUUUGAGUAAGAGCAUAGCUGUUGGGACCCGAAAGAUGGUGAACUAUGCCUGAAUAGGGUGAAGCCAGAGGAAACUCUGGUGGAGGCUCGCAGCGGUUCUGACGUGCAAAUCGAUCGUCAAAUUUGGGUAUAGGGGCGAAAGACUAAUCGAACAUCUAGAGCUGGUCUGGCUUUUUUUCUUUAAAAAAAAAAAAAAAAAAA
This 960-nucleotide ribosomal RNA is filed under the name Phyllosticta xinyuensis. Its description in RNAcentral is "Phyllosticta sp. XNS-2023d partial large subunit ribosomal RNA". It matches the Rfam family "Eukaryotic large subunit ribosomal RNA", at positions 1 to 994 of the family's 3401-position model. Lineage: Eukaryota; Fungi; Ascomycota; Dothideomycetes; Botryosphaeriales; Phyllostictaceae. The record is from RNAcentral.